UGUCCAGGGAUGGGAAUCGAACCCACAGUGUUCCGCUUACCGGGCAGAUGCCAUGUCCACUAGGCUACCCAUAU
This 74-nucleotide transfer RNA is filed under the name Cordylochernes scorpioides. Its description in RNAcentral is "tRNA-Thr". Lineage: Eukaryota; Metazoa; Arthropoda; Arachnida; Pseudoscorpiones; Chernetidae. The record is from RNAcentral.